Molecule: long non-coding RNA, 925 nt
Filed under: Homo sapiens (human)
Lineage: Eukaryota; Metazoa; Chordata; Mammalia; Primates; Hominidae
Description: MIR762 host gene
Source: RNAcentral
GGACGGAGAGCGGGAGUUGCGACCGGACGCGCGAGGCAGGGCCGAGGCCGUGUGUUCAGACCACGUGGGCGCGGGGUGCGCGACAGGGUCUGUGUCCUGCGCUGCGUGAGCCGCGGUGGGUGUCCGCGAAACGCUGUGUGUGGAGUGCGUGCGUGUGUCCGCCCUCGCCAGGCUGUUGGUCUACACCGCCCAACUUACUCAGUCAUCCAUUCAUUCAACAGUCUUGUUAACUGAGUGCCAAUUACGCUCCAGGCGCUGCGAAUACGAGUGGGUCUCCACCACCAGAAUGGCUAAAGUGAAAAAGACCGCACCGUGUGGAGGCGAGAAAGUAGAGCGACUGGACCUCUCUUGUAUUUCUGGGGGAGUGUAAAUUGGUAGAGACAUUUUGGAAAACUGGCAGUUUUCUAAUGAAGCCGAACAUAUGCCACCUCUGUGAUCCAGCAGUUCCACUCCUAGGCUGUCAACACCCAGCAGAAAUGUGUAGGUGUGAGCAUCAAGAGGGUGCAUGGGAAUGUUCAGAGCCCUUUCAUAACAGCCCCAAACUGGAAAUAACCCAUCAACAGAAUGGAAAAUGAAUGAUGCCCUACUCACUACCAUGCACAUAGACACAGCAACGGGAUUGACAUGCCCGGCUACACACAGCAACAUAGACAAGUCGCAUGAUGAAAUCUUGAGUGACAGAAGCCAAAUGCAACAGUACAUACUAGAUGGUUCCAGGUGUAUUACGUUCAGAACCAGACAAAACUAAUUUAUAGUGCACCAAAGUCAAGAUAGUGAUCGCCCUUAGGGUUGGGAGGGGACGAGGGGAGAGCUUCUGGGAGCUGAUCCAGUUCUGUUGUGUAAUCUGGUGCUGGUUCCCUGGGCAUAUGUAUUCUGUGAAAAUCCAUCACAUGACUUAAAUAAAAUGUACAUUACUUAAAUAAAA